RNAcentral lists this ribosomal RNA (253 nucleotides) under uncultured bacterium. RNAcentral describes it as "partial 16S ribosomal RNA". It matches the Rfam family "Bacterial small subunit ribosomal RNA", at positions 524 to 776 of the family's 1533-position model. The record is from RNAcentral.
UACGGAGGGUGCAAGCGUUAUCCGGAUUCACUGGGUUUAAAGGGUGCGUAGGUGGGAAAGUAAGUCAGUGGUGAAAUCUCCGUGCUUAACUUGGAAACUGCCAUUGAUACUAUCAAUCUUGAAUGCCGUGGAGGUCAGCGGAAUAUGUCAUGUAGCGGUGAAAUGCUUAGAUAUGGCAUAGAACACCAAUUGCGAAGGCAGCUGGCUACACGAAUAUUGACACUGAUGCACGAAAGCGUGGGGAUCAAACAGG